Molecule: signal recognition particle RNA, 284 nt
Filed under: Pelusios castaneus (West African mud turtle)
Lineage: Eukaryota; Metazoa; Chordata; Testudines; Pelomedusidae
Description: Metazoan signal recognition particle RNA (ENSPCEG00000009180.1)
Rfam family: Metazoan signal recognition particle RNA
About the family: The signal recognition particle (SRP) is a universally conserved ribonucleoprotein. It is involved in the co-translational targeting of proteins to membranes.
Source: Rfam by way of RNAcentral
GCCGAGCGUGGUGGGGCAUGCACGUAAGCCCUGCUCUUAGAGCAGCUGGAAUUGCUUGAGACCAGGGGUUCUAGGCUACUGUGCGCUAUGCUGAUCCAGUGUCCGCACUAAGAUCAGCAUCAACAUGGUGAUUCCUGGGCAGUUUGUAGCCUCCAAGUUGCCGAAGGAGGGAUUAACCGGCCCAAGCUGGAAACAGAGCAGAUGAAAGCUUUCGUGCUGAUCAGGAGUGGGAUUGCACCUGUGGAAAGCUGCUGUAGUGUAGCCUGGACAAGACAGUGAGACGU